CACGUGGUAAACACGUGACAGCAGCCUCGUC
RNAcentral lists this small RNA (31 nucleotides) under Bombyx mori (domestic silkworm). RNAcentral describes it as "ovarian small RNA-13040". Lineage: Eukaryota; Metazoa; Arthropoda; Insecta; Lepidoptera; Bombycidae. The record is from RNAcentral.